Long non-coding RNA from Coturnix japonica (Japanese quail), 2120 nucleotides. The record is from Ensembl. NCBI's taxonomy places the organism in Eukaryota, Metazoa, Chordata, Aves, Galliformes, Phasianidae.
GUGCGCGGCGCGGAGCAGCUGUUCUUCGUGCCCGCGCUGGGUCUUACUGCCCCUAAAAUGGCCCCGCCGAAGUUUUAACACAGUCAGCGGGGGCCGGCGCCGGGACUUGCGCCGCCUCAUUAGCAUUUAAAGGGGCCGCACUGAGCUCGCGGCUGCACCGAGUGAGAGGGGGGACGGCGUGGGGAUCGGUCACGGUGAGGUGAGGGGUGCGCACCGUACACGGGUGAGUGUGUCAGUGCUGUGUACAGGUGGCCGUGUGUGCCACAAGAGUGCGGGUGUGAACGCCGAGCUUGUGUGUGUGUGUGUGUGUGCCUGGAACAGGCUGCCCAGGGAGGUUGUGGAUGCCCCGUCCUUGGAGGUGUUCAAGACCAGGUUGGACAGGGCCCUGGGCAACCUGAUCUAGUAAAUGUGUAUGUUUGGUGGCCCUGCCAGGCAGGGGGGUUGGAACUACAUGAUCCUUGAGGUCCCUUCCAACCCAGGUCAUUCUGUGAUUCUGUGUGUGCGUGUGGAGCUGAGCGCCGCGAGUGCAUGCCCGUCUGCGUGGGUACCCGCAGGAACCCCGCUGUGCGUGGGGUUGUGUAUAGAUAGAUACAUACGCACACACGACUGCAGUCGAGAGUCCGAGAUGUCAGUAGGCUCGUGGCCGUGUAUUGCUGCUUGCUCCCACCCGUGUGCAGACAAACCCGCUUCUGUGCUCUGGCGGCGGUGCCUGUGAAUGCGCCUCUGCCCCGUGCUCUGUAUGGCGGAUCAGUUCGUUCUGGACCCGAGUUCGCGUGCGCUCCGUUGGAGACAAACGUCUAGAGAUGAGGUUACUGAUUCUUCCAGUGUUCCAUGUGGGCUUCUCAGGGAAUUGCAAUCCAUGUUUUGGAUCCCCCAGUUUUGGAAAAUAAACACAUUCAAGGCUGAAGAACUGACUUCAAAAUGGAAAACAUUCAUCUUCCCAGGUCUAGUUGGAAAUCCUAUGUUACACUGCUUCAGCAUAGCAAAUGAAGAACAGUCCAUCGCAAAACAGCCCGUGGCUUCACGCUGUGCUAGGAAGUGUUGGAUCAAAGGGCUGACACGCUCUACCAGAAGAUAUGUUUCAAAUUUGGUUACAGUAUCUGAGAAUUACUGCCUAUAAAUAAUGUUGGAUACUUCCAGGUGGAGGGACUUCUUAAAUGGGCUGAUAGUGUUUCCAGCAGGACUUAUAUGUGACAAAAUGCAGAAAAGCUUAUGAGCAAAGUAAUUUUGACUCUUUGCCUAUCUCUGAAAUGCCAAGAACCUGAUUGCAGGCCAGAGCUGAAAGACAACACACUUGAGAAAAAGAUGCUGCUUCCAGGGAAUAAGAAUUUCUUUGCUAAGAGAUCAAGGAUCAGACCAGUGGUCUUGCAAAGACUGCGGAAAAUUCUCUGUUGAUAGACUUGCAUUUAAAAAAACUUUGAUCAGUUCCCAAGUCUGUCAAAAACUGGAUAGUUGACAAGGCUAAAAUAUAAGACUGUAUUACCAUGCCAGUAUGCCUUUUAAUGAAGAAACCAAGGAAAGAAUUUAGCACAGGAUUGCUAGAGUUGUUCUCAGGCUCAUUCAGUCCCCAGAAUACCUCUGUUGACCCAUUACCCUCACUCACCAUCCCAGUUUUGUACUGUCCUUCAGAAGAGGGCUCAGCUCUAUGCAGAAGCUUAUAUUCCAGGAUAAUUCAUACCCUUCUCUACAGUGGAGUAUUUUCAAAGCAUGCUUUAAAAAAAAAGUGCAAGCAUUUGCAUGCACAGACUAAAGAAGACACUGUGUUAAUUUUCUAGAAGAAGAACCUUAAAGCCAACUGAACUGCACAUACAUCCACUGAACCUUCUUUUGUGUCUCUGGCUCCUUUCUAGGCUACUAAAUAGUAGCUAAUGCAGGGAAAGCCUGUUUGCCUACUUGUGACCUCCUGUGUCUUUUCCUUGCUGCACACACAGAACCCAUCCUUUCCUUCUGCCCUACCUAAAUCUACAUAGGCUUCCUCCUCCAUUCCUUUUUUUCUGGAUGCUCCCUUUUAUCACUUAUCCAGCUAAGGCUUCAUUGAUUAAUGUUCACAUGGAUUAAUAUUACCUAAAGUGAAUUCACAAUAGAAUGUGUUUUUCUAACCGACUAUUCAGUAUAUCUGG